Molecule: ribosomal RNA, 276 nt
Filed under: uncultured bacterium
Lineage: Bacteria
Description: partial 16S ribosomal RNA
Rfam family: Bacterial small subunit ribosomal RNA
Source: RNAcentral
CGUCGUCGCCGGCGACCGCGCACGGUGAGUAACACGUAUGCAACCUGCCCGUGGCAGGGGGAUAAGCGGGGGAAACCCCGUCUAAUACCGCGUAACGCGGCCUAGGGACAUCCCAAGGCCGCCAAAGGGAGCAAUCCCGGCCACGGAUGGGCAUGCGGCGCAUUAGCUAGUCGGCGGGGUAACGGCCCACCGAGGCGACGAUGCGUAGGGGUUCUGAGAGGAAGGCCCCCCACACUGGUACUGAGACACGGACCAGACUCCUACGGAAGGCAGCAG